Molecule: non-coding RNA, 93 nt
Organism: Venturia effusa
Lineage: Eukaryota; Fungi; Ascomycota; Dothideomycetes; Venturiales; Venturiaceae
Source: the annotation of a GenBank genome assembly
GGUUGUAUAGUGUAGUGGUGAGCACAUCGGUUUUUGAGACGAGUUAUCAACUCCGAAAUACCGAUAACCCAGGUUCGAUCCCUGGUACGACCU